Molecule: ribosomal RNA, 253 nt
Filed under: uncultured bacterium
Lineage: Bacteria
Description: partial 16S ribosomal RNA
Rfam family: Bacterial small subunit ribosomal RNA
Source: RNAcentral
GACGAACCGUGCGAACGUUGUUCGGAAUCACUGGGCUUAAAGGGCGCGUAGGCGGCUUGCUAAGUCAGAGGUGAAAUCCUGCAGCUCAACUGUAGAAGUGCCUUUGAUACUGGUAAGCUCGAGGGAGGUAGGGGUGGGUGGAACUUCUGGUGGAGCGGUGAAAUGCGUUGAUAUCAGAAGGAACGCCGGUGGCGAAAGCGACUCACUGGACCUCUUCUGACGCUGAGGCGCGAAAGCUAGGGGAGCAAACGGG